This 64-nucleotide transfer RNA is filed under the name Coffea arabica (coffee). Its description in RNAcentral is "tRNA-Phe". It matches the Rfam family "tRNA", at positions 1 to 61 of the family's 71-position model. Rfam says of the family: Transfer RNA (tRNA) molecules are approximately 80 nucleotides in length. Their secondary structure includes four short double-helical elements and three loops (D, anti-codon, and T loops). Lineage: Eukaryota; Viridiplantae; Streptophyta; Magnoliopsida; Gentianales; Rubiaceae. The record is from RNAcentral.
GUCGGGAUAGCUCAGAUGGUAGAGCAGAGGACUGAAAAUCCUCGUGUCCGGGUUUUCAAAUAAA